RNAcentral lists this long non-coding RNA (467 nucleotides) under Calidris pugnax (ruff). RNAcentral describes it as "lncRNA (ENSCPUG00000008867.1)". The record is from RNAcentral. Lineage: Eukaryota; Metazoa; Chordata; Aves; Charadriiformes; Scolopacidae.
AAUGGGCAGAUUAGCUUACUUCACAUAUUUUAAAAUCAGUGAAGAGGCUUUGAUCUCCUGUAUUGCUUCUUCUCAGCAAGGGCCCUGGUCAUACCCAUAUCGAGAUGAAUACUUCCUUCAGCCAAGUCAUGUCACAGUGGAAGAUACCUGGCCUUUCAGACUUCAUGAGAUUUACAAAUCUACCACUUUCCUUGGGCUUUUGUACUCACUGCUGCUCAGAACUUCAGGAUGAAGAUCAGUGCAAAAGCAAUGGAAAAUUCCCUGGGGGCAUGAGACACCUGUGGCAGUACCUGAGGUUAAAAAAACAAAACAAAAAGUUUGUGAACUCUUUUAUGCAAGCUGUGAGAUGUGCCAAGGGGACCUGAUCCUGCAGUACCAAAGCUGGCAAUUUCUGGUAAGUCCUUCGCUCUAUGCAAACCUCCCUUUGCCAUCCCUGGAAGGCAGACAAUGCAUGUGCAGUUUGAAGU